GCAAGUCGAACGAGAAAGCUCUUCGGAGUGAGUAGAGUGGCGCACGGGUGAGUAACACGUAGGUGACCUACCAUACAGUAGGGGAUAACCAGGAGAAAUUCUGGCUAAUACCGCAUACGAAGCACAAAUUUGAAAGUAGUGCUUGAAAGGAUGCUUCGGCAUUCACUGUUUGAUGGGCCUGCGUAGCAUUAGUUUGAUGGUGGGGUAACGGCCUACCAUGACUACGAUGCUUAGCUGGUCUGAGAGGAUGAUC
This 253-nucleotide ribosomal RNA is filed under the name uncultured bacterium. Its description in RNAcentral is "partial 16S ribosomal RNA". It matches the Rfam family "Bacterial small subunit ribosomal RNA", at positions 57 to 305 of the family's 1533-position model. The record is from RNAcentral.